GCUGACGGCGUGCUUAACACAUGCAAGUCGACCGAAGAGCUAUGGAAGCUUGCUUCUAUCAAUCUUAGUGCCGAACGGGUGAGUAACGCGUAAUCAACCUGCCCUUCAAAGGGGGACAACAGUUGAAUCGACUGCUAAUACCGCAUACGAUCUAAUCUCGGCAUCGAGGAUAGAUGAAAGGUGGCCUCUACAUGUAAGCUAUCACUGAAGGAGGGGAUUGCGUCUGAUUAGCUAGUUGGAGGGGUAACGGCCCACCAAGGCGAUGAUCAGUAGCCGGUCUGAGAGGAUGAACGGCCACAUUGGGACUGAGACACGGCCCAGACUCCUACGGGAGGCAGCAGUGGGGAAUCUUCCGCAAUGGACGAAAGUCUGACGGAGCAACGCCGCGUGAGUGAUGACGGCCUUCGGGUUGUAAAGCUCUGUUAAUCGGGACGAAAGGCCUUCUUGCGAAUAGUAGAAGGAUUGACGGUACCGGAAUAGAAAGC
RNAcentral lists this ribosomal RNA (485 nucleotides) under Veillonella parvula. Its description in RNAcentral is "bacterial SSU rRNA". It matches the Rfam family "Bacterial small subunit ribosomal RNA", at positions 35 to 491 of the family's 1533-position model. Lineage: Bacteria; Bacillati; Bacillota; Negativicutes; Veillonellales; Veillonellaceae. The record is from RNAcentral.